UACAGGGGGUGCAAACGUUGCUCGGAAUUAUUGGGCGUAAAGCGCGCGUAGGCGGCUACCUAAGUCGGAUGUGAAAGCCCCUGGCUUAACUGGGGAAGUGCACCCGAAACUGAGUAGCUAGAGUACGAAAGAGGGUCGCGGAAUUCCCGGUGUAGAGGUGAAAUUCGUAGAUAUCGGGAGGAACACCGGUGGCGAAGGCGGCGACCUGGGUCGACACUGACGCUGAGGCGCGAAAGCGUGGGGAGCAAACAGG
Molecule: ribosomal RNA, 253 nt
Filed under: uncultured bacterium
Lineage: Bacteria
Description: partial 16S ribosomal RNA
Rfam family: Bacterial small subunit ribosomal RNA
Source: RNAcentral